RNAcentral lists this long non-coding RNA (480 nucleotides) under Struthio camelus australis. RNAcentral's name for it is "lncRNA (ENSSCUG00000015029.1)". Lineage: Eukaryota; Metazoa; Chordata; Aves; Struthioniformes; Struthionidae. The record is from RNAcentral.
UUUCCUGGGGGCGUGGGGCUGUUUGUGGAGGCACAGUGCUGCUCGCUGACGGGGGCUGCUGUGCUCUUUGCAGAGCCGCUCCGCUUGCAGUGAGCGGGGAGCUGCCAUCAUGUGCCAGCAGAAGGGCUGCCGCCGCAGCUUCCACCUCCCAUGCGACUCCGAGCACGGCUGCCUCACAGUUUUUCAAGGAGUACAGAGCCUCAGAAGAGGAGGAGUCUAGGUGAAGUCAAAGACCAAGCCCUUAGAUACCAAUGGAGUCUUGUAGAACUUUCUAGUCUACCCUCAGACUGAUCCUUGCUGAUCAGGUGUAUUGCCAGAAGCAGAAGAAGUCUUUCAGCAAGACUGGUAAGUUAAGAACAGAACCUGAGAAAUUUGGACCAAGCGUACUGACUUUCAUAGGAGAACUAGAAAGUGACAGUCUUCCCUCUUGAUUAGAGGCUAUUUGGUGUGUAAAAUUCAUUCUUCAUACAUAAGUUUCAG